CGGGGUGGGUUUAGCCCGCGCUCACUUUGAGAAGCAACCCCCGUCCAACCUGAGGAAAUCCAACUUCUUCCACUUCGUGUUGGCACUGUAUGAUCGCCAGGGGCAACCGGUGGAGAUCGAAAGGACGUCCUACCUCGACUUUGUGGAGAAGGACAAGGAGCCGGGUGGAGAGAAGACCAACAACGGCAUCCAUUACAAACUGCAGCUGCUCUUCAGCAACGGUGUGAGGACGGAGCAGGACCUGUACGUCCGGCUGAUCGACUCCAUGACCAAACAGGCCAUCAUAUACGAAGGUCAGGACAAGAACCCGGAGAUGUGUCGGGUUCUGCUGACUCAUGAGAUCAUGUGCAGUCGCUGCUGCGAUAAGAAGAGCUGCGGGAACAGAAACGAGACGCCGUCAGACCCCGUCAUCAUCGACAGGUACACACACACACACACACGCACUCACACACACUCACACACACUCACACUCACAC
This is a long non-coding RNA of Notothenia coriiceps (black rockcod), 476 nucleotides long. RefSeq lists it as uncharacterized. NCBI's taxonomy places the organism in Eukaryota, Metazoa, Chordata, Actinopteri, Perciformes, Nototheniidae. The transcript has 5 exons. The record is from RefSeq and is a predicted model, not a curated record.